This 497-nucleotide ribosomal RNA is filed under the name uncultured bacterium. RNAcentral describes it as "partial 16S ribosomal RNA". It matches the Rfam family "Bacterial small subunit ribosomal RNA", at positions 28 to 507 of the family's 1533-position model. The record is from RNAcentral.
GACGAACGCUGGCGGCGUGCCUAAUACAUGCAAGUUGAGCGCUGAAGGUUGGUACUUGUACCAACUGGAUGAGCAGCGAACGGGUGAGUAACGCGUGGGGAAUCUGCCUUUGGGCGGGGGACAACAUUUGGAAACGAAUGCUAAUACCGCAUAAAAACUUUAAACACAAGUUUUAAGUUUGAAAGAUGCAAUUGCAUCACUCAAAGAUGAUCCCGCGUUGUAUUAGCUAGUUGGUGAGGUAAAGGCUCACCAAGGCGAUGAUACAUAGCCGACCUGAGAGGGUGAUCGGCCACAUUGGGACUGAGACACGGCCCAAACUCCUACGGGAGGCAGCAGUAGGGAAUCUUCGGCAAUGGACGAAAGUCUGACCGAGCAACGCCGCGUGAGUGAAGAAGGUUGUCGGAUCGUAAAACUCUGUUGGAAGAGAAGAACGUUGGUGAGAGUGGAAAGCUCAUCAAGUGACGGUAACUACCCAGAAAGGGACGGCUAACUACGUG